GGAGUUAGCCGGUGCUUCUUCUGUGAGUGAUGUCCUUCCUGCCGGCUAUUAACCCGCAGGCCUUCUUCCUCACUGAAAGUGCUUUACAACCCGAAGGCCUUCUUCACACACGCGGCAUGGCUGGAUCAGGGUUGCCCCCAUUGUCCAAUAUUCCACACUGCUGCCUCCCGUAGGAGUCUGGGCCGUGUCUCAGUCCCAGUGUGGCUGAUCAUCCUCUCAGACCAGCUACGGAUCGUCGCCUUGGUGAGCCGUUACCUCACCAACCAGCUAAUCCGACAUAGGCUCAUCCGAUAGCGCGAGGCCCGAAGGUCCCCCGCUUUCCCCCGUAGGGCGUAUGCGGUAUUAGCCUGGGUUUCCCCAGGUUAUCCCCCACUACCGGGCAGAUUCCUAUGCAUUACUCACCCGUCCGCCGCUCGCCACCAGGGAGCAAGCUCCCCGUGCUGCCGCUCGACUUGCAUGUGUUAGGCCUGCCGCCAGCGUUCAAUCUGAGCCAUAAUCAAACUCUGA
This 507-nucleotide ribosomal RNA is filed under the name uncultured bacterium. RNAcentral's name for it is "partial 16S ribosomal RNA". The record is from RNAcentral.